CCCCUUAAAAAAAUUUCGUCCUUGAAAUUACCUUGAACUUAGUUGAAAAGUUCUGGAUACUUGGUCUUGAUUUCUUCUUCUCUUUCCCAAGUCGAUUCUUCGACAUUAUGAUUCCUCCAUUGGACUCUUACUAACGGAAUUUCUUUUGUUCUUAAUUGCUGGAUUCUGCGAUCCAAUAUCGAUACUGGUUUUUCCUCAUAUGUCAUGUUUGAUUUGAUAUCCAAUGGUUGAUAAUUAACCACGUGACUUGGGUCUAAUACAUA
RNAcentral lists this long non-coding RNA (263 nucleotides) under Olea europaea (common olive). RNAcentral describes it as "long non-coding RNA (OEUR_LNC014321)". Lineage: Eukaryota; Viridiplantae; Streptophyta; Magnoliopsida; Lamiales; Oleaceae. The record is from RNAcentral.